RNAcentral lists this ribosomal RNA (878 nucleotides) under uncultured bacterium. RNAcentral describes it as "bacterial SSU rRNA". It matches the Rfam family "Bacterial small subunit ribosomal RNA", at positions 8 to 933 of the family's 1533-position model. The record is from RNAcentral.
AGAGUUUGAUCCUGGCUCAGAACGAACGCUGGCGGCAGGCUUAACACAUGCAAGUCGAGCGAAGACUUCGGUCUUAGCGGCGGACGGGUGAGUAACGCGUGGGAACGUGCCCUUUACUUCGGAAUAGCCUCUGGAAACGGAGAGUAAUACCGAAUGUGCCCUUAGGGGGAAAGAUUUAUCGGUAAAGGAUCGGCCCGCGUUAGAUUAGGUAGUUGGUGGGGUAAUGGCCUACCAAGCCUACGAUCUAUAGCUGGUUUGAGAGGAUGAUCAGCCACACUGGGACUGAGACACGGCCCAGACUCCUACGGGAGGCAGCAGUGGGGAAUCUUGGACAAUGGGGGCAACCCUGAUCCAGCCAUGCCGCGUGAGUGAUGAAGGCCUUAGGGUCGUAAAGCUCUUUCGCCAGGGAUGAUAAUGACAGUACCUGGUAAAGAAACCCCGGCUAACUCCGUGCCAGCAGCCGCGGUAAUACGGAGGGGGUUAGCGUUGUUCGGAAUUACUGGGCGUAAAGCGCGCGUAGGCGGACUGGAAAGUGUGGGGUGAAAUCCCGGGGCUCAACCCCGGAACUGCCUUGCAAACUAUCAGUCUAGAGUUCGAGGGAGGUGAGUGGAAUUCCGAGUGUAGAGGUGAAAUUCGUAGAUAUUCGGAGGAACACCAGUGGCGAAGGCGGCUCACUGGCUCGAUACUGACGCUGAGGUGCGAAAGUGUGGGGAGCAAACAGGAUUAGAUACCCUGGUAGUCCACACCGUAAACGAUGAAUGCCAGUCGUCGGGUAGCAUGCUAUUCGGUGACACACCUAACGGAUUAAGCAUUCCGCCUGGGGAGUACGGUCGCAAGAUUAAAACUCAAAGGAAUUGACGCGGGCCCGCACAAGCGGU